Molecule: ribosomal RNA, 470 nt
Filed under: uncultured bacterium
Lineage: Bacteria
Description: partial 16S ribosomal RNA
Rfam family: Bacterial small subunit ribosomal RNA
Source: RNAcentral
GACGAACGCUGGCGGCGUGCUUAACACAUGCAAGUCGAACGCUGAAGCACCAGCUUGCUGGUGUGGAUGAGUGGCGAACGGGUGAGUAAUACGUGAGUAACCUGCCCUUGACUCUGGGAUAAGCCCGGGAAACUGGGUCUAAUACUGGAUGCUACAUGUCACCGCAUGGUGGUGUGUGGAAAGGGUUUACUGGUCUUGGAUGGGCUCACGGCCUAUCAGCUUGUUGGUGAGGUAAUGGCUCACCAAGGCGACGACGGGUAGCCGGCCUGAGAGGGUGACCGGCCACACUGGGACUGAGACACGGCCCAGACUCCUACGGGAGGCAGCAGUGGGGAAUAUUGCACAAUGGGCGAAAGCCUGAUGCAGCGACGCCGCGGGAGGGAUGACGGCCUUCGGGUUGUAAACCUCUUUCAGCAGGGAAGAAGCCACAAGUGACAGUACCUGCAGAAGAAGCGCCGGCUAACUACGUG